RNAcentral lists this ribosomal RNA (882 nucleotides) under Triticum aestivum (bread wheat). Its description in RNAcentral is "partial small subunit ribosomal RNA". Lineage: Eukaryota; Viridiplantae; Streptophyta; Magnoliopsida; Poales; Poaceae. The record is from RNAcentral.
AUGGCGUUCCCCUGCUUGCCCUCCGUGCGGCCACCGCCGCGCGCCGUCCGAGCCCGAGCUGAGCGUCCCCGCGGCCGGCGGCCCGCGCUGACGGUCGUGGCCGCCGGAACCCGAACCAGCGGCGCCGAGGCCCGGGGGUCGCUGGUGCUGGCGCUCGUCUCGCAGGCCCUCGCCGCCUCGCAGCGCCGCGCCGUCGACCUCGUCACCGAGGCCGCCAAGUACGCCCUCCCUUCCGGCCGCUUCGAGCCACGGAACCUCGAGGAGGCCCUCAUGUCCGUUCCCGACCUGGAGACCGUCCCGUUCCGCAUCCUGAAGCGUGAGGAGGACUACGAGAUCAGACAAGUGGAGUCGUACUAUGUCGCUGAGACGACGAUGCCUGGAAGAACUGGGUUUGAUUUCAGCGGGUCGUCUCAGUCGUUCAACGUGCUGGCGUCUUACUUAUUCGGUAAGAACACGAGCUCCGAGCAAAUGGAAAUGACAACCCCUGUUUUUACUCGGAAGGAGGAAGUUCGCGGUGAAACGAUGGACAUGACCACCCCAGUUAUAACAAAGAAGUCAGCUGAUGGAAACAAGUGGAAGAUGUCUUUUGUGAUGCCAUCAAAAUAUGGUCCAGACUUGCCUCAGGCAAAAGACCCGUCUGUGACUAUCAAGGAGGUGCCCAGCAAAAUUGUAGCAGUUGCGGCCUUUCCAGGUUUGGUUACAGAUGAUGACAUAAGCCAGAGGGAAUCCAGAUUGCAGAAAGCUCUCCAGAAAGAUACACAGUAUCGGGUAAAAGAGGAUUCAGUGGUGGAAAUUGCACAGUAUAAUCCCCCUUUCACACUUCCGUUCGCAAGGCGCAAUGAAGUAGCACUAGAGGUUGAGGGGGUUGAUAGUGCCUCCUGA